UGGGGGAUAUUGCACAAUGGGGGAAACCCUGAUGCAGCGACGCCGCGUGGGUGAAGAAGUAUUUCGGUAUGUAAAGCCCUAUCAGCAGGGAAGAAAGAAGACGGUACCUGACUAAGAAGCCCCGGCUAACUACGUGCCAGCAGCCGCGGUAAUACGUAGGGGGCGAGCGUUAUCCGGAUUCACUGGGUGUAAAGGGAGCGUAGACGGCAAUAUAAGCCAGGAGUGAAACCCCGGGGCUCAACCCCGGGCAUGCUCUUGGAACUGUAGAGCUAGAGAGCGGGAGGGGCAGGCGGAAUUCCUGGUGUAGCGGUGAAAUGCGUAGAUAUCAGGAGGAACACCGGCGGCGAAGGCGGCCUGCUGGACCGCGGCUGACGUUGAGGCUCGAAAGCGUGGGGAGCGAACAGG
Molecule: ribosomal RNA, 405 nt
Filed under: uncultured bacterium
Lineage: Bacteria
Description: bacterial SSU rRNA
Rfam family: Bacterial small subunit ribosomal RNA
Source: RNAcentral